This 253-nucleotide ribosomal RNA is filed under the name uncultured bacterium. Its description in RNAcentral is "partial 16S ribosomal RNA". It matches the Rfam family "Bacterial small subunit ribosomal RNA", at positions 524 to 776 of the family's 1533-position model. The record is from RNAcentral.
UACGUAGGGGGCGAGCGUUGUUCGGAUUUACUGGGCGUAAAGAGCGCGUAGGUGGUGCGAUAAGUCGGAGGUGAAAGCCCUCGGCUCAACCGAGGAUCCGCGUCCGAUACUGUCGGACUUGAGUGCAGGAGAGGAGAGCGGAAUUCCCAGUGUAGCGGUGAAAUGCGUAGAUAUUGGGAGGAACACCGGUGGCGAAGGCGGCUCUCUGGACUGCUACUGACACUGAGGCGCGAAAGCUAGGGGAGCAAACGGG